Molecule: ribosomal RNA, 826 nt
Filed under: uncultured bacterium
Lineage: Bacteria
Description: bacterial SSU rRNA
Rfam family: Bacterial small subunit ribosomal RNA
Source: RNAcentral
GCAAUCGCCCUUCGGGGCGUGCGCUUGUGGAACGAGCGGCGGACGGGUGAGUAACACGUGGGCAACCUGCCUGUAAGACUGGGAUAACUCGUGGAAACGCGAGCUAAUACCGGAUAACACUUUUUGUCACCUGAUGAGAAGUUGAAAGGCGGCUUUUAUGCUGUCACUUACAGAUGGGCCCGCGGCGCAUUAGCUAGUUGGUGAGAUAAGAGCUCACCAAGGCGACGAUGCGUAGCCGACCUGAGAGGGUGAUCGGCCACACUGGGACUGAGACACGGCCCAGACUCCUACGGGAGGCAGCAGUAGGGAAUCAUCCGCAAUGGACGAAAGUCUGACGGUGCAACGCCGCGUGAGUGAUGAAGGUUUUCGGAUCGUAAAACUCUGUUGUUGGGGAAGAACAAGUACCGUUUGAAUAAGACGGUACCUUGACGGUACCUAACCAGAAAGCCCCGGCUAACUACGUGCCAGCAGCCGCGGUAAUACGUAGGGGGCAAGCGUUGUCCGGAAUUAUUGGGCGUAAAGCGCUCGCAGGCGGUCUUUUAAGUCUGAUGUGAAAUCUUGCGGCUUAACCGUGAGCGGUCAUUGGAAACUGAAGGACUUGAGUACAGAAGAGGAGAGUGGAAUUCCACGUGUAGCGGUGAAAUGCGUAGAGAUGUGGAGGAACACCAGUGGCGAAGGCGACUCUCUGGUCUGUAACUGACGCUGAGGAGCGAAAGCGUGGGGAGCGAACAGGAUUAGAUACCCUGGUAGUCCACGCCGUAAACGAUGAGUGCUAGGUGUUAGGGGGUUUCCGCCCCUUAGUGCUGAAGUUAACGCAUUAAGCACU